UGGGGAAUAUUGCACAAUGGGCGCAAGCCUGAUGCAGCCAUGCCGCGUGUAUGAAGAAGGCCUUCGGGUUGUAAAGUACUUUCAGCGGGGAGGAAGGCGAUAAGGUUAAUAACCUUGUCGAUUGACGUUAACCGCAGAAGAAGCACCGGCUAACUCCGUGCCAGCAGCCGCGGUAAUACGGAGGGUGCAUGCGUUAAUCGGAAUUACUGGGCGUAAAGCGCACGCAGGCGGUCUGUCAAGUCGGAUGUGAAAUCCCCGGGCUCAACCUGGGAACUGCAUUCGAAACUGGCAGGCUAGAGUCUUGUAGAGGGGGGUAGAAUUCCAGGUGUAGCGGUGAAAUGCGUAGAGAUCUGGAGGAAUACCGGUGGCGAAGGCGGCCCCCUGGACAAAGACUGACGCUCAGGUGCGAAAGCGUGGGGAGCAAACA
This 427-nucleotide ribosomal RNA is filed under the name uncultured bacterium. RNAcentral's name for it is "partial 16S ribosomal RNA". It matches the Rfam family "Bacterial small subunit ribosomal RNA", at positions 355 to 774 of the family's 1533-position model. The record is from RNAcentral.